UAAACAGAGAGGUGCCUACUAUGUGCUAC
Molecule: non-coding RNA, 29 nt
Filed under: Rattus norvegicus (Norway rat)
Lineage: Eukaryota; Metazoa; Chordata; Mammalia; Rodentia; Muridae
Source: RNAcentral